Long non-coding RNA from Saccoglossus kowalevskii, 484 nucleotides. RefSeq lists it as uncharacterized. NCBI's taxonomy places the organism in Eukaryota, Metazoa, Hemichordata, Enteropneusta, Harrimaniidae. The record is from RefSeq and is a predicted model, not a curated record.
CAAGUUAUUCCACACCUGUAGAGCCGAUAUAAAGCUAAAAUAUGAAGGUUGCGUGCGUAUUGCUCUUAGUAUGCCUUGUUGGAUAUGUCUGUGCCCAAGAACCAAGUCAAGCUCCUCGGCUGGACGAAUACGAAAUUACUUUCAACGUGAAUUUGAAUUAUGACAAACAUAAAGCAGGAAGUAUUUUCAGAGCGCUGAUAGGUAACUCUUAUGAUGAGUUGAAGUGUAAUAGCUACCUGGUCUGUGAAGAUUCCAACAACGAUUGCGAUGCAUGUUCUAUACCUUAGGAAGGCAUAUAAUGUUGGACCAACAUGACCACUUUGACCACGGACACGACUACUGACUCUGAUUAGAUCGAUUAUGCCGAGUGACGCCAUUUACCCUUUUGAUACAUUUUCUACUAAGUCUUUGCCGUUCUUUGCGAUAUUUACUGUAGUUUAACUAAUAAAUGAAGCUGAUUAUCAAGCAAAACUAUUGUUACUAC